AGCCUCCUCUUCAGCGCUGUAAUGCCAUGUUCCUGCAUCUGCACCUGCACCACACUUCUACGAGAGAAUGUGCAGAAGUCAGAGCGGUGUUGUGCGAAUCCUGCUCUCAGUCAAUUGCUGGGAUUGCGUUUCUCCAAUCUUCUUUCUCUGGGCUUUUCUCUGGCAUUGUGGUGGUGUAGGUGCUUAUGCAGAAAUAUUGCCUUGCAGCUUGCAGUUACUAGU
RNAcentral lists this microRNA precursor (222 nucleotides) under Physcomitrium patens. RNAcentral's name for it is "Physcomitrella patens miR1030j stem-loop (ppt-MIR1030j)". The record is from miRBase by way of RNAcentral. Lineage: Eukaryota; Viridiplantae; Streptophyta; Bryopsida; Funariales; Funariaceae.